GGAGUCUGGUCCGUGUCUCAGUACCAGUGUGGGGGACCUUCCUCUCAGAACCCCUACCGAUCGAUGGCACGGUGGGCCGUUACCCCGCCGUCUGCCUAAUCGGACGCAUCCCCAUCCGCAAGCAAUAAAUCUUUAACCCUCUUCAGAUGUCAUCAAAGGGCCACAUAGGGCAUUAAUCCGAAUUUCUCCGGGCUAUUCCCUACUUGCAGGCAGGUUGGAUACGCGUUACUCACCCGUGCGCCGGUCGCCAUCAAAGAUUGCAAGCAAUCUCCAUGCUGCCCCUCGACUUGCAUGUGUUAAGCCUGUAGCUAGCGUUCAUC
Molecule: ribosomal RNA, 320 nt
Filed under: uncultured Prevotella sp.
Lineage: Bacteria; Pseudomonadati; Bacteroidota; Bacteroidia; Bacteroidales; Prevotellaceae
Description: partial 16S ribosomal RNA
Source: RNAcentral